Mesocricetus auratus (golden hamster) is the source of this 2097-nucleotide long non-coding RNA. RefSeq lists it as uncharacterized. NCBI's taxonomy places the organism in Eukaryota, Metazoa, Chordata, Mammalia, Rodentia, Cricetidae. The record is from RefSeq and is a predicted model, not a curated record. The transcript has 3 exons.
GGGUGAGGCCUUAGAAAUCUGGAGGCAUACAGUUGGGCUUCCUAGGAAAUUGAAAAUUUUCCUUGCACAGAUAUUUUGGAACUGUAAACAAUGAAAAAAAAUGACCCAGAAAUUCCAUUUGCCUUUGAUGAUAUUUUACAGUUUGGCUUGGGAAAGUAUUUAACAUCUUUUCUUUGUGGUCUCCUGGAUAAGUCUACAAGUGUUUCGACACUUCGAGAAAUAAAUACAAAGCGAGGUGAUUCAGAUUCUCCGAAGAUUUGGGGAGCAUAGCUAAUGUCUUUCAAGUCAGCCAUUUGCCAACUGUUUCCCAGGGUGAUAGUUCAUGGAUUCCAAGUAUCCUUUCUUCCUGAUGUCUUUCGGGUGCCCAUUUUUCCCACCAUAAUUUGUUUCCUCAUUUUGUAAUAUUUUUAUUCCAAAUAUAUUGAGCAGCCUCACUAGCCUUUGUUAGCAGUGUGAUUUAAGUAUUACAUUAUGUCCCUCUGUAGUCCUUUUCUUACAAUUUUCUUAUUAUUAUCUACUUAAUUCUUACCAUUUGACUUCACCCCUUUUGUUCUGAAGUUGUUCCCACUGAAUCAGGCAUUAAAUAAAAAAAUAUUUUUGUCUAUAAAUAAGAGAACAAAUCCAGGUGGCUAUUACAUAUUUACUUCAUACAGGUCGCUCUUAGGAGCAAGUGAGGCUCCUGGUGUUAAAUAAUGAGCUGGUAUAUUGUGAGCACAUUUCUCCUGGAAUGACAGUAUCAGGGGCCCAGGGAAUCUGCCUGCCCCAUUGUUUAUCUGUGGUAACCUUCCUGAAGUCAUACUGCAAGAGGCAAGUUGUGUAGGAAGUUUUCUACAUGGGGGAUUUGCUUGUUGAUGUCUCCUUUCCUUACUGGGCCACUGCUCUGGUCCCAGGUGCCAGUAUUUACAGCUGAGAGGCUUCAAGGUGGAACUCAUUCGGAGUCCUCCAACAUAGCUUCAUUCCUUCCCCUGCUAUGUCUUCUCUGUCUUCUUUCCAAGCUGUAAGUAUCUAACCAUCGUACUUGUCUUUUUCAUCAUUUCCAACUCUUGACCUUAGUUUUAAAGAGGAAAGAAACUUAACUAGAUCUACUCUCUGUGAUAUAGGAAUUACUAGAAACCUUUACUUGAUAGGUGCAUAAGAUUCUCCCUUAGAAAUUCUGUCCUUAUAAGCUGUAGUUAAAUAAGUUGGACAUUAUAGGGAAAGGUACUUGACAACUCCAAAUCAGAAGGAAAGCCCUCUGUGGGUCUUCUGAUCAAGAAGGAGUCCUUUAAAAAAGUCUCUGACUGGAAGAAAAGAAGGAGAGAGCUCCAUUAGCCAUGUUUAGGGAGGACCCUAGAAAAACAGUACUUCGAGGGGCAGCAACAGUGUCCACAGAGCAAGCCAUUCGUGAUCAGCUUCAAAGAACCGUGGCAAGCCAGGUACAUCCUUCCUUCUUCAAACUCAUAAUAAAGAUAAUCCCUUCUAAAAACUGAACAUUAGAAAUAUAUCAUUUAGUGAAAGAACACAUAGCUUUUAGUGUGCAGAGAUUCUCAGGGUGUGUGUAGGAAAAGGAAUGACCUUGGAUAGGCUAAUGAGAUACAGCUUUGCUUUCUAGAUGAAGAUGCAGAAUGGGAGUGUUGUUAAUGGAACUUUUUCAGGCAAUCAUUUGGAGAUACCUGAACAGGCAGGAGCAAGAGGGCAUAAUUUAUCAAGACAGUUGUAUCAAGAAUGAAGAUCUGGACCAGGACAAUAGCUGUCUGCAAGAUCACUAGAGACCUUGAAGGAUGCAUCCAACAAGAGGAACCAGAUGCAGGAAAUAUUUCGACAGAAGGAAGAACCUUUUUCCUGGCUCCUCCUUUCUUCUAGGAUAGCCUAUCAGUCCUGCUACAGUACAUUGCCUUCAUGUGUGCAACAUAGAAAGCCUGAGGUGGGGUUGCCCAGACUGAGCUUGAACCCACCUUCUUCCAGCUCUGCCUCCUGGGAUUGCAGGCAUUUACCACCACGCCCAGCCCUUUCGUCUUUUUCAAUUUCUAAAAGCCAGGUUGUUGGUUUUUUUUUUUUCCUGGACCAUGAUGAUCCCUACACCUACAUAAUUCCUAAAAGUGGAGAAUUAGGGAAAAA